RNAcentral lists this long non-coding RNA (2183 nucleotides) under Sorghum bicolor (sorghum). RNAcentral's name for it is "long non-coding RNA (SBIC_LNC018260)". Lineage: Eukaryota; Viridiplantae; Streptophyta; Magnoliopsida; Poales; Poaceae. The record is from RNAcentral.
CCAGCCGCUCCUCCGGUCUCGCACUUACAAAUAAAACAUUUGUAAGGGCGGGUGCCCCAGCCGCCCUUAGAAAUACCAUAUGUAAGGGCGGCUGGUGACCCAACCUCCCUUACAAAUAGUAUUUUCUAAGGGCGGCUGGUGAUCCAGCCCCCCUUACAAAUAGUAUUUCUAAGGGCGGCUGAGACACCAUCCGCCCCUAAAGUGAUAAUUUGUAGGGGCGGUUCAAUCUACAGCCUGUUUUUCAGCAAAAAAAAUUUAAAUCUGAAUUCAAAUAUGACUAGAGCACGUAAUAUAUAAUUCAAAUCUGACCACCACACACACACACACACACACACACACACACACAUAUAUAUAUAUAUAUAUAUAUAUAUAUAUAUAUUCAUCCACAACCACACAAGAACAAUAUAAACCACAAAUUACAUGUCUAAUUCAUCGCAAAGUCUAUUACAUAACCAUAAUUCACAAGUUCAAAUAUUCCUACAAGUCCAUAUGCAUCUUAGUCUAGAUUGUUAUCAACGUCCAAGACAGAGCCUGUGUGUCUCACGCAGGUGUUGGUGAAGUGGAUUGGAGCCUAAGUCGGACCUUACAUCAUGAUAAGCGCCUCUAGAAUCAACAAUCUCGUCAAUGAUGAAGUUGCAAAGGUCGCCGACGAGCCCUAUGAGUUCAUCCUCCUUGAUUAGGUUCCUUCGCUUGUCUUUAUAUUCUUUCCACUAUAGGAGAACAAGUUUAAGAUUUUAUAACAUGAGGAAACUAAAUUUCAUAACAUAAGCUAAGUUUUCAUACUAUGAGGGAACAAAGUGUGAAACUAACCAGAUUGGGGUGUCUCGUGUAGGCACUAGUGUUACUCAUCAUGCAACAUAUGUAAUAUCCGCAAUGGUAUUCAGAUCUCGUGUAGGCACUAGUGUUACUCGCAUAAUCAGAUGUGAUCUAAUGGUAUUCAGAUCUACAAAUGCCAUAAGAUUCUUGCAAUCUUUGCAGGGACAAAUAAUUAUAUCCUUAUAAUGUGUCAAUGUUAAUGCAUGCUUCUCUGUGGCUUCAAUAAAUUUAUCCACCUCAUCGCCAAAACCUUCAUCAAUCCUUGACCAACCAUACAUCCAAGAGUUCCUGUACUCCGUCUUUUAAAACAAAAUAAAAAUACAAAAUACAUAAAACAAAAUAAACUAAUAAAGAAAAAUACAAAGUAGACAUUAAUUGUGUAUAUACUCAUGGUAGAGGAUAAUUAUUUAGUUGGCUAUUAAUAAAACUAAAUAUUUAAAAAACGAAUAAGAAACAAGUAUUAUUUUACCAAUUUGCAACAAUUAACAACAAAACAAAAAUACAAAAUACAUAAAAAAUAAAUUAAUGAAGAAAACUACAAACUAGAGAUUAAUUGUGUAUACAUACUUAUACUCAUGGUAGAGGAUAAUUCUUUAGUUGGCUAUUCUUGAUUAUAAAGUUGUAAAUGGUGAAAAUAUUAACUUAUAUAUUAAUUAGUUGGCUAUUAAUGAAACUAAAUAUUUAGAAAAGAAAUUAGAAACAAGUAUUAUUUUACCAAUCAACAAUAAUUAGCAACAAUUAUAAAAAUAUAAUUAUAUAAAUAAACUUAUAUAUAGUUCCAUUGUCAACAAUUAGAAACAAUUAUUAUUUUACCAACAAUUUUUCAUAUCCAAACCAUUCUAAUUUCAUGAACCAUAAAUAAAAAAAAUUAAAAAGCAAAUCCUAGAUCUAGAACUAGAUCUACACAUACAUGAUAAAGUGAAAUAUAUCACCACUAAAAUGAAGCAAGAUCGACCAAUAAAGAGGGCAAGCUCAUAUCUCUAACUAAUUCCAACUAAUAGCUUAAGAACAAGGGUCUAAUUUGCUCCAUACAAAGCUCAAGCACUAUGGAAGAGAGAGAAAAGCAAAACUCAAAUUACUCACUAACCAACCACUAAAAACUUUAAUUAAAGUGUUGGAAUAGCAUUUUCUUACUUUUCCAAGCUUCCCAUCAUAGUUUUUGAGACCAAAACCUCCCCCCUCACUAGAGCAAUUUUUAGGAGGUGCCCAAGGCCUCCCAACCUUAUCUCCUCGGGUUGGAGUGAGUGACCCGAGGAGGAAGAAGGGUGCAGCAUAUAUACAGCCGUGAUUUGUAAGGGCGGCUGCCAGCCGCCCUUAGAAAUACCACAAUAAGAGCGGCUAGAUCACGAGCCGCCCUUACAAAUCGC